GACGAACGCUGGCGGCGUGCUUAACACAUGCAAGUCGAACGGAGAUAACUGAAUAGUAAUAUGAAGUUAUUUUAGUGGCGGACGGGUGAGUAACACGUGGGUAACCUGCCCUAUGGAGGGGGAUAACACAGAGAAAUUUGUGCUAAUACCGCAUAAUGUAGCUGAAUCGCAUGGUUUAGCUACCAAAGAUUUAUUGCCAUAGGAUGGACCCGCGGCCCAUUAGCUAGUUGGUGAGGUAACGGCUCACCAAGGCGACGAUGGGUAGCCGAUCUGAGAGGAUGAACGGCCACAUUGGAACUGAGACACGGUCCAGACUCCUACGGGAGGCAG
This 330-nucleotide ribosomal RNA is filed under the name uncultured Bacillota bacterium. RNAcentral's name for it is "bacterial SSU rRNA". It matches the Rfam family "Bacterial small subunit ribosomal RNA", at positions 28 to 351 of the family's 1533-position model. The record is from RNAcentral. Lineage: Bacteria; Bacillati; Bacillota.